ACGAGAGUUACCAGGUUGUGGAUUUUACACUUUCUUUUGGCUCUGAUGAAGUUACGUUUAUAGUAUCUGCUCCUAAAAAGGCUUCUAAAUUAACAACAAUAUUUAUACCUUUUACAAGUACGGUUUGGCUGUUUGUUUUUGAAGCGAAAGACCAUGG
Molecule: long non-coding RNA, 157 nt
Organism: Centruroides sculpturatus (bark scorpion)
Lineage: Eukaryota; Metazoa; Arthropoda; Arachnida; Scorpiones; Buthidae
Exons: 3
Source: RefSeq, a predicted model, not a curated record